RNAcentral lists this ribosomal RNA (468 nucleotides) under uncultured bacterium. RNAcentral's name for it is "partial 16S ribosomal RNA". It matches the Rfam family "Bacterial small subunit ribosomal RNA", at positions 28 to 507 of the family's 1533-position model. The record is from RNAcentral.
GACGAACGCUGGCGGCGUGCUUAACACAUGCAAGUCGAACGGAAAGGCCCUGCUUUUGUGGGGCGCUCGAGUGGCGAACGGGUGUGUAACACGUGUGUAACCUGCCCUUGACCUUGGGAUAACUUCAGGAAACUGGGGCUAAUACCGGAUAGGAGCUCCUGCUGCAUGGUGGGGGUUGGAAAGUUUCGGCGGUUGGGGUGGGACUCGCGGCUUAUCGGCUUGUUGGGGGGGUAGUGGCUUACCAAGGCUUUGACGGGUGGCCGGCCUGGGGGGGUGACCGGCCACAUUGGGACGGGGGUACGGCCCGGACCCCUACGGGGGGCAGCGGUGGGGAAUAUUGCACAAUGGGGGGAGGCCUGAUGCGGCAACGCCGCGUGCGGGAUGACGGCCUUCGGGUUGUAAACCGCUUUCGCCUGUAACGAGGCGUGAGUGACGGUAAUGAGUAAAGAAGCACCGGCUAACUACGUG